Molecule: ribosomal RNA, 498 nt
Filed under: uncultured bacterium
Lineage: Bacteria
Description: bacterial SSU rRNA
Rfam family: Bacterial small subunit ribosomal RNA
Source: RNAcentral
CAGUCGAACGAAGCGCUCGGACGGAGUCUCUUCGGAGAGGAAGGCCGGGCCACUGAGUGGCGGACGGGUGAGUAACGCGUGGGCAACCUGCCCUGCACAGGGGGACAACAGCCGGAAACGGCUGCUAAUACCGCAUAAGCGCACAGCUUCGCAUGAAGCGGUGCGAAAAGCUUUGGCGGUGCAGGAUGGGCCCGCGUCUGAUUAGCUUGUUGGCGGGGCAACGGCCCACCAAGGCGACGAUCAGUAGCCGGCCUGAGAGGGUGGACGGCCACAUUGGGACUGAGACACGGCCCAGACUCCUACGGGAGGCAGCAGUGGGGAAUAUUGCACAAUGGGGGAAACCCUGAUGCAGCGACGCCGCGUGAGCGAAGAAGUAUUUCGGNUAUGUAAAGCUCUAUCAGCAGGGANGAAAAGACGGGACCCUGAGUAAGAAGCUCCGGCUAAAUACGUGCCACNAGCCGCGGUAAUACGUAUGGAGCANGCGUUAUCCGGAUUUAC